Cotesia glomerata is the source of this 113-nucleotide long non-coding RNA. RefSeq lists it as uncharacterized. NCBI's taxonomy places the organism in Eukaryota, Metazoa, Arthropoda, Insecta, Hymenoptera, Braconidae. The record is from RefSeq and is a predicted model, not a curated record. The transcript is spliced from 3 exons.
UUAGGUUGAGUACGGGAAGGGAAGGGGGGCAAAAUGGGCCCCUUAAGAAAAAAAUGUUGAUAUCCUUAGUGUUUUUCUCUGGUUUCACUUUUUUUUAGUCCCUUGCCAAGUAU